ACCAUUCAUCCAUAGUUUUUCAAAGCCAAUUGAAUCAUUUGCAUUUGCAUGGUUAGUUUUUGUUCUUUGCAUUCAACACUUAAAUUUAAUUCUUUUCUCAAGUCUUAAGCGAUUGGGUUACACGAAAGAUUAGGCCUUUGAGUCCUUUGGGAAGAACGAUAUUGGAUUUACCAAUUAUAUUACUUGAUAACGAUUUGGUACACUUGUCAGGGGCUUAACAAGUUUUUGGCGUCGUUGUCGGGGACUCAUGGUUUAAC
RNAcentral lists this long non-coding RNA (257 nucleotides) under Vigna radiata. RNAcentral's name for it is "long non-coding RNA (VRAD_LNC013562)". Lineage: Eukaryota; Viridiplantae; Streptophyta; Magnoliopsida; Fabales; Fabaceae. The record is from RNAcentral.